CUGGCGGCGUGCCUAACACAUGCAAGUCGAACGAGAAAGUGGAGCAAUCCAUGAGUAAAGUGGCGACCGGGUGAGUAACACGUGACUAACCUACCCUCGAGUGGGGAAUAACUCCGGGAAACCGGGGCUAAUACCGCAUAACAUCGCAAGAUCAAAGCAGCAAUGCGCUUGAGGAGGGGGUCGCGGCUGAUUAGCUAGUUGGCGGGGUAACGGCCCACCAAGGCGAAGAUCGGUAUCCGGCCUGAGAGGGCGCACGGACACACUGGAACUGAAACACGGUCCAGACUCCUACGGGAGGCAGCAGUGGGGAAUUUUGCGCAAUGGGGGAAACCCUGACGCAGCAACGCCGCGUGGAGGAUGAAGCCCUUUGGGGCGUAAACUCCUUUCGACUCGGACGAUAAUGACGGUACGAGUGGAAGAAGCACCGGCUAACUCUGUGCCAGCAGCCGCGGUAAUACAGAGGGUGCGAGCGUNGUUCGGAAUUAUUGGGCGUAAAGGGCGCG
Molecule: ribosomal RNA, 503 nt
Filed under: uncultured bacterium
Lineage: Bacteria
Description: bacterial SSU rRNA
Rfam family: Bacterial small subunit ribosomal RNA
Source: RNAcentral